UUUGGUGGACAACUUGACAAGACACGUCUGAAGGCUCUGGAAAAAAAUUACCUUGUGUCGCACACAGGUGGGAUGGGCGGCACAUACCGUCGAUACAUAGCAGUAAUUACAGAAGUGAGACUGCAUCUCUCAGCAGUUAAGUAAGUCUCCUGUUGUGAAAUUAUAGUUCUCCAAACGAACAAGAAGGAAACAGCGGAUGUGACUUUCUUCAUUGGAGACUGUGCUUAAGUGACAUGAAGAGAGGGAAAGUCGUCCACAAAAUGGUUACAGACAAGAGCUCUCUAUCGAUUGUGUGGAUGAACCGAAGGGAAAACCUGCGGUCGUUAUUUUUGCCGAUAAAACAUUCCCGAUGCAGGUUGCAGAACCACACAAGCCGCCGCAGCUUUCCACUGAGUGUGUGGACGACCCGUUGGGACAACUUGCAGUCAUUGCAAUUGAAGAUAAAACAUUCCCAAUGGGGGGCUUUUGCUAACAGAGCGCUUAGAAUUGGAAUGAACGUCAUUCCAUGGAAAUUGAAGGACCCUCUUUUUAAUUGACUUUCUCCAGCGAGGAUCAAUAAUAAUUUAUAUUAUUUAAUCGUAGGGUGUACCCUACCUUCCGUCCGAGUGCAGCUGGGAUAUGCUCCAGCGCCCCGCGACUCCUAGAAGGACAAGCGGUAGAAAAUGGAUGGAUGGAUGUUGUAAAACCUGCACAAAGACUUCAAAAUGAAGUUUUGUGUAGAAUGUUGUAGAGUCAUUGCUUUCGGUUAUUACGAAUUCAACUGUGAAGGACUGACAGCAACACAUUCAGCUAUGCAGCGCCCCUGAGCUGCAAAACAUGGACAUAUAAGAUUUUAAAAUAUAUAUUUUUAAAAGGUAAGCUAUUUGAACAAAGGCCUUUACAGUAUUUGCAAAAAUGCAUUUUUUACAGCAUCUUGUUUGAUUUCCAAGAUGGCGCCGCUGUAGUAGCUGCUGUUGACAGGAGCUCUGUGCUCUUGUGUCAUCAUUUUGUGUUUCCCUCUUGUUUUCAUGUGUUAUUAUAUAUUUGUAUAUAUUUUUUUGCCUUUUGGUUCGGGACCCUUUGGGACUGUGUGACAAGGGGUGGCACUUUCGUGACUUCUGCUGUGCUUUUUUUGUGGACUUCUGGACUUGCCUCCCGGUAGCCUUUUGCCCAUAGACACCAGCUGCUGGGUCUCUGCCACACCAUAGUCCGUUUGGAGAGACUGGAGGAGAUGCAGAUUAAGAGACAGGGCUGCGGAGCUAGCACUGAGCGCCGGGACGGACAGGCUUCACAGUGUCUUGGCUGAAUGAGCAGGUUUUGGACACCUCAGUCUCUUUAGACGCGUCCUCGCUCAUCUAUGCGGACUGGACACUGGCCGAGAGUUAAUGGGCCGCCGAGAAUGGAGUCUGCUCUCUUGGUUGCUUUGUUGGGUCUGCUCCUGUCUCUGGCCAUGUUCCCUCCACCCCAGCAGACGAUGGCGUGGAACACCGCAGAGGCCACCACAGUGUAUAUGUUUCUUUUACUUUUUAUUCAUAGCUGUAUGUAGAAGUGGCUGGUUGAAUCAGCUCUGCUUUUUUAAUGUCUUUAAUGUCCUUUGUGUUCUUUGAUGUUUCCCACUUACACACAUGUAAGAGGGAUGUGUGCUAUGGCUAUGAGUUGUUUUUUCCCUUGGCCUCAGUCUGGACCCCCUCUCCAGGGGCCCAGGCUUAGACUGAUUUUUUUUCCCUCACCCCCCAAAUCCCCCCAUUGUUUACCUGUAUCUCACCUUUUUUGUAAGGGGUACCGGAAGUUGGCAGACCCGUCAGCGAUCCUGUUCUGUCUCCCUGUAAUGUUUGUCUGAUCUUGAAUGGGAUUGUGCUGAAAAUUUAAUAUCCCCUCAGGGGUUGAUAAAGUAUUUCUGAUGCUGAUUCUGAUUCAGAAGAGAGGAAUGAAUGCACUUUUAAAGUGUGUAUUCAUAUAAAAAAGGUAAGCGGUUUAAUUGAAGGAAGGUUAUUAUUUGCACUAAUGCAAUUUAAAAAUGUGUAUUAUAUCAAAAAGGUAAGGUGCUUGAAGAAAGGAAUAGACUUUUAAAUUUUGUAGUCAUAUUAAAUAAGUAAGCUUUUUAUUUGAAGGAAGGCCUUUAUUUGCACAAAUGCACUUUUAAAGUGCGUAUCAAUACAAA
Entelurus aequoreus (snake pipefish) is the source of this 2140-nucleotide long non-coding RNA. RefSeq lists it as uncharacterized. The record is from RefSeq and is a predicted model, not a curated record. The transcript is spliced from 3 exons. Lineage: Eukaryota; Metazoa; Chordata; Actinopteri; Syngnathiformes; Syngnathidae.